CGGUGCGUAGCGCAGCUGGCAGCGCGCCUGCUUUGGGGGUAGGGUACCGGGUGUUCGAGUCCCCUUGCUCCAACCA
This 76-nucleotide transfer RNA is filed under the name Angelakisella sp. Its description in RNAcentral is "tRNA-Pro". It matches the Rfam family "tRNA". Rfam says of the family: Transfer RNA (tRNA) molecules are approximately 80 nucleotides in length. Their secondary structure includes four short double-helical elements and three loops (D, anti-codon, and T loops). Lineage: Bacteria; Bacillati; Bacillota; Clostridia; Eubacteriales; Oscillospiraceae. The record is from RNAcentral.